Molecule: ribosomal RNA, 484 nt
Filed under: uncultured bacterium
Lineage: Bacteria
Description: partial 16S ribosomal RNA
Rfam family: Bacterial small subunit ribosomal RNA
Source: RNAcentral
AUUGAACGCUGGCGGCAGGCCUAACACAUGCAAGUCGAGCGGAGGAGGGUAGCAUGCUCCUGGAUUCAGCGGCGGACGGGUGAGUAAUUCCUAGGAAUCGGCCUGGUAGUGGGGGAUAACGUCCGGAAACGGGCGCUAUUAUCGCAUACGUUCUGAGGGAUAAAGAGGGGGAUCUUCGUACCUCGCUCCAUCAGAAUAGCCUAGGUCGGAUUAGCCAGUGGGUGGGGUAAAGGGCGACCAAGGCGACGAUCCGUAACUUGUCUGAGAGGAUGAUCAGUCACAUUGGAACUGGGACACGGUCCAGCUUCCUACGGGAGGCGGCAGUGGGGAAUAUUGGACAAUGGGCGAAAGCCUGAUCCAGACAUGCCGCGUGUGUGAAGAAGGUCUUCGGAUUGAAAAGCACGUUAAGUUGGGAGGAAGGGCAGUAAGUUAAUAACUUGCUGUUUUGACGUUACCAACAGAAUAAGCACCGGCUAACUUCGUG